Molecule: long non-coding RNA, 2942 nt
Filed under: Sus scrofa (pig)
Lineage: Eukaryota; Metazoa; Chordata; Mammalia; Artiodactyla; Suidae
Description: lncRNA (ENSSSCG00015066093.1)
Source: RNAcentral
CUGUGUUUAGUUUCCGUAUAUUAAAUAAAAAGACUCCUCCCAGUUAGUAACUAAAAUGAGGCAGACUGGAAACUGGAUGCUCAGGCAGCAGCUUUCAAAGCGUUUCCAAAGAUUAGAGUCUUGUCUCGUCACGGAAUGAAUUCAGAAAUGAGAUAGAAACUGAGAAAAGUGAGGAUUUACUUAAGUGAGAAAUACAGCUCUUAAAGAGAGGUGGGCAGAGAGGCAGCAGCUGCCCUGUGUUUUUCGGGCACACCAGUUAUAAGGGUUAUCCAGUUGUUUGGAUGGGAUAUUCACUGGGAAGGUGGGGUUUGGGGGUCGUAUUCCUUCAUUUUCAUCCCAGCUCCACCUUCCCAAAGGGAGGAGGAGUUUUUGUCCUUAUUUAGUUUAGUUUUUAUUGGAAGUGUCAUGACAUUAAUGGAUGAUGAGUACUUAUUAUCUGCACAGCUAAUUUUAUUAUAAUUUUGUUAUAAUGAUGUAAUGAGCAACAAGUUAUAUUUGGGUACUGGAAAUUCAUGCCCUUUCUCACAUUUCUUCAUCUGCCUCCAGGGCACUUAUCACCCCAAAAUGUGUGGUUUCCUGUCGGUCUGGAGGUUCUGGCUUUUCUUUGUCUGACCAUGGACCCCGCUGUUUGCCUGAUGAGUGGUUUCCUGCCAUCUGGCCCCGUGCCGCCUUCUCUGCUCCUACCUAUCUCUCUGCUGUAACAGAAGCACACAAAUAUACCUCUUUCAAUGGAAGACUGAGAGAGAAGCAUUUCUGUCUGCUGCCUCUGUGCUGUGCCCCAGGGGAAAAGCUAGUUAAGAACUAUUACUGUUAAUGUCUCAGGUCCCACUCUACUGCAAGCCCUGCUGCCAUGAGCACCCCACUAUCAAGAGGUGUCUCCCUUAGGGGCGGCCAAAAAACUUGGGUGCCGAAAACUCAUGCACAAGCUCCUUUAUAGGAGAUACUAGUGAUCAGAGUGGGGCAUAGGAAGAGUACAGAGAUGGUGACUGCCCCCCUCCCCAUCUCUGGAAAGAACUGCUGGCCCCUGAAUGUAUGUUAAAUUAGAAGCCUUCCUCUUGGACUACAGCUAUUAGGCCUCUUUCAUGGAAUGACUGGGUAUUUCUUUCUACUGCUUCUCUGCUGUGCCCUGAGGGUAUAGGUCUAGGUUUUUUUUUUUUUUUUUCUUCCCCAGAGUCCUAAGGGAACCUACAAACAUAUAGCCAUAGUGGCCAACAGAGAUAGGCAAUCAAGGGAUGUCCCCUGGGUGUGCAGUUUUUGUGUGUACUAUGGACCUUAAACAUAACUAAUGGCAAUUAUUAAGCAAAGUUGAGUUUAUUUUGGAAUAACAGGAAUUGCAGUUUGGGACAAACAAUGGCGAACCAUAGACAAGUUGAAAUAAAGGGGAGGCUAGGUUCUGAAAAUAAAUUGGAAGGGUUAUUUUGAACAAAAUGUUGUGCUCUGUGCAUGCCUGUCAGAAAGGAAUUCCUGGACUCAUAUCUGGGUGUAAAGAAAGAAGAGUUUGUUGAGCAUGACGAGGUGGAGAGAAAGUAGAGUUUACAGAGAUAAGAGAUGCUGCACGCACAGUGGGAUGACUUCCUGACAAUCAGGGAAAGCCAACAACUAGUGUGUGGUCACGUCUGUUUUUAUAACUGGGGCAGAAGAGAGGUCUUGUGAUACACCUGCUGGUCGGUUGGGGAAAGAGGGGUCUUAGGAUAUAUACUUGCUGGUCACUUGGGGCCAUAUAAGGCCCUAUGGGGUGGUGUGAGGAGUGGGCCACAUACCUUUCCUACGGGGGUAGGAAUGAGUAGGCCAGGUUGAAGGUGGGGAAAGGGCACUACAAUGAGAUAGCGGGGCAAUGAUAAGGGUUUCGUAAUUCUUGUCUUGGCCAAAAGCUUUGAGUUCAAACUUCUUGAAGUCAAACACAAAAGUUCAUUGGAGAACUAGAAGCUCAGGGUGGAGAUCUGGAGUGAGGCACUCUGCUCUACGAAAACUGGAAGAACAAGUCUUCAGAUAGAUAUUUUUAGAAGAUGUUAUGAGUCCACUCCUUGCACCUCCUCAUAUUGAGGAAAACACUAAAAUCUUUCAUGAUGUCUGCUCCUCAUGCUAAGAGUAACCUUCAUGAGACCAGCAGCAAACUUGGGUGAAAUGCGGGCAUGGCUGCAUGCACCUCCCCCUUCACUUCUAUCUCAUAUAUCCUGACCCUUCCCCCCUCCUCUUUGGGGUGGUAUUUCAGAGCUGUCUGUAAUGCUACUUUUCUGGCUGCAAUUAAUUCAACAAAACAAAAAGAUGUCAGAGUCAUCUGUGCGUGCAGCCACUCCCAAGGGUGAGCCAGUGAGCCCUGAGGGAACUCAGGAAGGAAGUGAAGAAUACUGGCCCUGACAGCUGAGGUGCAUAUCAAAGGAGUGAUUCCGGUAAGCCCAGACCUUUGCAUCUUCCCAUAGAAAUAUGCAAAACUCCUUGAGAUAACUGGUUUUUGGUAAUCUUUUGUUCCUACGCCCUGCCCUAUGUUGAAAAAACUCCCAUGUAUCCUAGCUCCUGGCUUGCUGCCUCCUCGGAGAAUUUUUCGCAGAGCUACCUGAGAUGCUGUCUCCUGGGCUUAAGUCCACACUUUGCCCCAAAUAAAACUUAACUCUCAGCUUUCAGGUUGUGCAUUUUUUAAAGUCAACCCUCUUAAUGAGGAAUGCAGAAAUCUUCUCCCUGCUGGCUGAGUGAGUCGAGGUGAGGAAUACAUGUGUGAACUCUGCCUUUGUGGCUUCCUAACUGCACUCUAAAUCAAGUUUCCUGUAUUCAUGUUCACAGGACAUGUGUUUUCAACUCUGGGAAAAGACCAAGAAGUGUAAUUGCUGGAUCAUGUGACAAAAGUAAGUUCGUUUUUUUAGGAAACUUCUGCACUGCUUUCCAAAGUGGCUAUUCAAUUUCUAAUAGUCCCACAAGUAAAAAGAGUUCCUAUGGCUCAACAUCCU